AUCAUUAUCGUACAACCUGAGGCACGGAGGGCUGUCGCUGACCUUUUAAAGGUCGUGCACGCCCAAAGUGCUCUCACACAUCCAUCUCACCCCUCUGUGCAUCACCGCGUGGGCACGCUCCCCCUUUUGACUUAGUUUCUGAGGGGAGGGUGUUCACGUUUUUACACACACACCUUUAAUGCAAGUGUAGAAUGUUUUACUUUUUGCAAUAACAUGCAAUACAAUACAACUUUCAACAACGGAUCUCUUGGCUCUCACAUCGAUGAAGAACGCAGCGAAAUGCGAUACGUAAUGUGAAUUGCAGAAUUCAGUGAAUCAUCGAAUCUUUGAACGCACCUUGCGCCCCUUGGCAUUCCGAGGGGCACACCCGUUUGAGUGUCGUGACAUCCUCAACCUUCUUGGUCUUUUUGACUUUAGAAGGCUUGGACUUGGGGGGUUUUUUUUUGCUGGCCUUUAUUUUUAAAGCCAGCUCCCUCUAAAUGCAUUAGUGGGGUCUACAUUGUCAAUCCUCGACGUUGAUAAGAUGCUUCUACGUCUUGGUUUACCUUUUGUAGCCUGCUUCUAACCGUCUCAUUAGAGACAAGUGGCUCAAGUUUUCACUUGAACCCCACAAACCUUUGACCUCAAAUCGGGUGAGACUACCCGCUGAACUUAAGCAUAUCAAUAAGCGGAGGAAAAGAAACUAACAAGGAUUCCCCUAGUAACUGC
Molecule: ribosomal RNA, 708 nt
Filed under: uncultured Russula
Lineage: Eukaryota; Fungi; Basidiomycota; Agaricomycetes; Russulales; Russulaceae
Description: eukaryotic LSU rRNA
Rfam family: 5.8S ribosomal RNA (bases 228-381)
Source: RNAcentral